This 497-nucleotide ribosomal RNA is filed under the name uncultured bacterium. RNAcentral's name for it is "partial 16S ribosomal RNA". It matches the Rfam family "Bacterial small subunit ribosomal RNA", at positions 28 to 507 of the family's 1533-position model. The record is from RNAcentral.
GAUGAACGCUGGCGGCGUGCCUAAUACAUGCAAGUCGAGCGAACGGACGAGAAGCUUGCUUCUCCGAUGUUAGCGGCGGACGGGUGAGUAACACGUGGAUAACCUACCUAUAAGACUGGGAUAACUUCGGGAAACCGGAGCUAAUACCGGAUAAUAUUUUGAACCGCAUGGUUCAAAAGUGAAAGACGGUCUUGCUGUCACUUAUAGAUGGAUCCGCGCUGCAUUAGCUAGUUGGUAAGGUAACGGCUUACCAAGGCAACGAUGCAUAGCCGACCUGAGAGGGUGAUCGGCCACACUGGAACUGAGACACGGUCCAGACUCCUACGGGAGGCAGCAGUAGGGAAUCUUCCGCAAUGGGCGAAAGCCUGACGGAGCAACGCCGCGUGAGUGAUGAAGGUCUUCGGAUCGUAAAACUCUGUUAUUAGGUAAGAACAUAUGUGUAAGUAACUGUGCACAUCUUGACGGUACCUAAUCAGAAAGCCACGGCUAACUACGUG